Molecule: long non-coding RNA, 720 nt
Organism: Rosa rugosa (rugosa rose)
Lineage: Eukaryota; Viridiplantae; Streptophyta; Magnoliopsida; Rosales; Rosaceae
Exons: 3
Source: RefSeq, a predicted model, not a curated record
CAGAAGCCUUCUUUCCUUCUCCGCGAGCUAGACCCCAAUUAAGCAAUUGCAGCUCCCAUUCUGGUUCUUCUCCCCCGAUCAGCAACAUCCUUUCCCUUUCCCAAUUAUGGUUCUUCUCUCCCCGAUCUAGGUUUUUUACACAGAAGAGUCUCAACGAUCAACCUCUCCCCGAUCUAGGUCAAGAAGACACUGUUGGUGUAGUUCUUCGAUCUGAUUUUACAAAGUAUACUGUUGUUGCACGGAUUUCUGGUCAAGGAGAGGAGUGAAGGAGAAAUGGGUUCUGCACUCAGACGAGUUUGCCAUGAGAUCCACCAACCAAUCGUUCCUCAAAAGCGGCCUCUAUAAAACCCAACAAAAGGGAAAUAUUUGGGUUUUGAUUUGAUUGGGUUUAUGUUACGUUUCUGUUAAUUUGAUAGGGUUUUCAUAUUAUGUGAACUUUCACAGGUUUUAGUCUAAUUUUGGCUUUAUAAAUCAUCUAAAUGCUUUCGAUGUCAGGAUGCUGGUUUUGUACCAAAUGGAAUUGGGAGCAAAGGAAUCAACCUGUGUGAAUUUUAAUCCCAGCAGCAAGGAGUAUAUGCACGGAGUAGCAAUAAGAUUUCGGUCAUGUGAAGCCUCUUUCCUCCAUAAACCCUUUGUUUUGGGAUGUAAUUUUAACCGAUCUGCAUGUUUCCAUUUGUCAGUCCUGCCUGUCAAAGAUUCGAAGCCUCGUCUUUGUUGAGA